GAGUUUGAUCCUGGCUCAGAACGAACGCUGGCGGCGUGCUUAACACAUGCAAGUCGAACGUGAUUGAGAGCUUGCUCUCAUGAAAGUGGCGCACGGGUGAGUAACACGUGGAUAAUCUGCCUGGCGAUUCGGGAUAACACUUCGAAAGGGGUGCUAAUACCGGAUAAGCCCACGGUCUCUUCGGAGAGUGCGGGAAAAGGGGGCCUCUGUAUAUGCUCCUGUCGCUAGAUGAGUCCGCGGCCCAUUAGCUAGUUGGUAGGGUAAUGGCCUACCAAGGCUACGAUGGGUAGCUGGUCUGAGAGGAUGAUCAGCCACACUGGAACUGAGACACGGUCCAGACUCCUACGGGAGGCAGCAGUGGGGAACUUUGCGCAAUGGGCGAAAGCCUGACGCAGCAACGCCGCGUGAGUGAUGAAGGCCUUCGGGUCGUAAAGCUCUGUCAGAGGGGAAGAACCGCCGGGUGGCUAAUACCUGCCUGGUCUGACGGUACCCUCAAAGGAAGCACCGGCUAACUCCGUGCCAGCAGCCGCGGUAAUACC
RNAcentral lists this ribosomal RNA (539 nucleotides) under uncultured Geobacter sp. Its description in RNAcentral is "bacterial SSU rRNA". It matches the Rfam family "Bacterial small subunit ribosomal RNA", at positions 9 to 527 of the family's 1533-position model. Lineage: Bacteria; Pseudomonadati; Thermodesulfobacteriota; Desulfuromonadia; Geobacterales; Geobacteraceae. RNAcentral also lists the same sequence under 1 other name. The record is from RNAcentral.